GCUUUCUGUUUCUGGACGGUUGACUGACCUGACCUUUGAGUAUAUUGGGAAGUAUGCCAAAAACCUUGAGACACUUUCAGUUGCUUUUUCUGGCGGCACUGACUGGGGUAUGCAGUGCGUGCUCGACGGCUGUUCUAAGCUGAGGAAGCUGGAGAUAAGGGAUUCUCCAUUUGGAAAUGCAGCACUUCUUUCUGGAAUGGGGAAGUAUGAAUCAAUGCGGUGUCUUUGGAUGUCAGCUUGCAGGGUCACCAUGAAUGGUUGUAGAAUACUUGCACGAGAGAGACCUAGGUUGAAUGUCGAGGUAAUCAAAGAUGAGCACAGCGAUGACUAUGCUGAUAAAUUAUACGUCUAUCGUUCUGUAGCAGGGCCACGAAGGGAUGCCCCACCUUUUGUUGUAACUCUCUAGUACAAAGUAACAGGAACUUCGGCAUGCACUAGGAUACCCUUUUAUUUCAGCUAGUUUUAUCUGCUACAACAUGCAUGAUGUUCGUAAAGGUGGACGAGAGAAAGUAAGUGAACAAUGGAUUAAAGGAAUAUCUCUCCUUAUGCUGCAUUUACUAUGUUUUACUUGAAGAAGCUUGAAAUUUUCAAGGAAGAUCAACAAAAGGGAUGUCUGUGCGCGCUCUUACUGAACUACUGCAUUAUAAGAAAGAAACCAUGCGAAGAUUCUCUAACAGUUAGUGAGACCUUUGGCCAUUGAACGAAUGAUCCCAUGACGGAGUUGAAAAGUUGAUUAUGUCAAGAGAAAACCAUCAUGGGAUCAAAUCUGAAGAGUCCUGAAGCUCACAAGAACAAGGUUUAAUUUAUUAACUCGCGGAGUUUUUUUUUCUUUUUUCAAAACAAUAAGUAGCAUAAACAUAAAGAAAGAAAAAUGAAAUGAGUCUCAUGUAACUUGAAUGCUAUAUGGUGAUAAGGUUUCAGAGACAUAAGUUAUUUGGCCAAACUGGAAAUGCAAAAGAAAA
This 962-nucleotide unclassified non-coding RNA is filed under the name Hevea brasiliensis (rubber tree). The record is from RNAcentral. Lineage: Eukaryota; Viridiplantae; Streptophyta; Magnoliopsida; Malpighiales; Euphorbiaceae.